Molecule: non-coding RNA, 240 nt
Filed under: Novipirellula herctigrandis
Lineage: Bacteria; Pseudomonadati; Planctomycetota; Planctomycetia; Pirellulales; Pirellulaceae
Source: RNAcentral
AAGGUUUCUUACGAAUAAGAUCUCGCCAAUUACUUAGCCUUUCUUGGAGGUGCGAUCGCAGGUAACAAUAUCGUGCUGAGUGUCCAAUACGAAGGGCAACACAGGCCAGCUAUGAGCUCCGAAAUCAUCACUUUCGCGUGCCGACCUUGUCCCUUUAUGGGGAAAGUUAACAUCGGCUGCACCGCUAUCGGCGAGCUGCAGUCGGCGAGUUGCGGUCGGACGCGACGGAGUCCCAGAACC